This is a long non-coding RNA of Marmota flaviventris (yellow-bellied marmot), 412 nucleotides long. RefSeq lists it as uncharacterized. Lineage: Eukaryota; Metazoa; Chordata; Mammalia; Rodentia; Sciuridae. The record is from RefSeq and is a predicted model, not a curated record.
GCGACCAGGAGGCUUGUAAGGAGGGUCGACGGGGUCUGGGAGACAGGAGUUUGGGGACGACCUCAGAUUCCGAGAGCCUCGGGGGUGGUGGCGGGCAGAGUAAUCACAGUGUAAUCACUGUGUCCUGAGCAGCUACUAGAACUCAGGCUUACAAACCUGCCUCUCCAACCUGGACAGCUGGAACAUUCCGUUCUCAAGAUUCCUGACUCAUCUUCCCUCUUCCACAUGGAACCAUCUAAGAGCACAGAAAAAUUAGUCACUUCCCUGGCUAAUAUCCUCUAACAACUGAUUCCCAAGCACUCAGAAUAUGGUCUGACCCUGCCUACCUGUUCCUUUCACAUGGCCACACAACCAAACUGGUGCCUCUAGGCUUUCUUCAUGUCCUCUCAAGUAAACUCUCCCACCUGUCCCA